CAGCGUUUGACAUGGGACGUAUGGUUACCAGAGAUGGUUUCCUUCACUUCGGGUGGCGUCCACACAGGUGCUGCAUGGCUGUCGUCAGCUCGUGUCGUGAGAUGUUGGGUUAAGUCCCGCAACGAGCGCAACCCUCACCUUCAGUUGCCAUCAUUUAGUUGGGCACUCUGACGAAACUGCCGGUGACAAGCCGGAGGAAGGCGGGGAUGACGUCAAGUCCUCAUGGCCCUUAUGGGCUGGGCUACACACGUGCUACAAUGGCGGUGACAGUGGGGUGCAAAGCCGCGAGGUGGAGCAAAUCCCAAAAAGCCGUCUCAGUUCAGAUUGCACUCUGCAACUCGAGUGCAUGAAGGUGGAAUCGCUAGUAAUCGCGGAUCAGCAUGCCGCGGUGAAUACGUUCCC
RNAcentral lists this ribosomal RNA (402 nucleotides) under uncultured bacterium. RNAcentral's name for it is "bacterial SSU rRNA". It matches the Rfam family "Bacterial small subunit ribosomal RNA", at positions 975 to 1375 of the family's 1533-position model. The record is from RNAcentral.